UACGGAGGGGGCUAGCGUUGUUCGGAAAUACUGGGCGUAAAGCGAACGUAGGCGGCGUGGCAAGUCAGGGGUGAAAUCCCGGAGCUCAACUCCGGAACUGCCUUUGAAACUGCUAUGCUAGAAUCCUGGAGAGGCGAGUGGAAUUCCGAGUGUAGAGGUGAAAUUCGUAGAUAUUCGGAAGAACACCAGUGGCGAAGGCGACUCGCUGGACAGGUAUUGACGCUGAGGUUCGAAAGCGUGGGGAGCAAACAGG
RNAcentral lists this ribosomal RNA (253 nucleotides) under uncultured bacterium. Its description in RNAcentral is "partial 16S ribosomal RNA". It matches the Rfam family "Bacterial small subunit ribosomal RNA", at positions 524 to 776 of the family's 1533-position model. The record is from RNAcentral.